RNAcentral lists this ribosomal RNA (253 nucleotides) under uncultured bacterium. Its description in RNAcentral is "partial 16S ribosomal RNA". It matches the Rfam family "Bacterial small subunit ribosomal RNA", at positions 524 to 776 of the family's 1533-position model. The record is from RNAcentral.
UACGUAGGGACCGAGCGUUGUCCGGAAUCAUUGGGCGUAAAGAGCGUGUAGGCGGCUUGUUAAGUCUUGCGUGAAAUCUCGGGGCUCAACUCCGAGCGGUCGUGGGAAACUGGGCGGCUAGAGUGCGGGAGAGGAGAGUGGAAUUCCUGGUGUAGCGGUGGAAUGCGCAGAUAUCAGGAAGAACACCCGUGGCGAAGGCGGCUCUCUGGAACGCAACUGACGCUGAGACGCGAAAGCGUGGGGAGCAAACAGG